AUUUAAAUAGCUUAUAUAAAGAGUAUAAUAUUGAAGAUAUUAAGGAGAUUUUUUUUAUCUUUAAAUA
Molecule: transfer RNA, 67 nt
Filed under: Barbourion lemaii
Lineage: Eukaryota; Metazoa; Arthropoda; Insecta; Lepidoptera; Sphingidae
Description: tRNA-Phe
Source: RNAcentral